RNAcentral lists this transfer RNA (71 nucleotides) under Acetivibrio ethanolgignens. It matches the Rfam family "tRNA". Rfam says of the family: Transfer RNA (tRNA) molecules are approximately 80 nucleotides in length. Lineage: Bacteria; Bacillati; Bacillota; Clostridia; Acetivibrionales; Acetivibrionaceae. The record is from Rfam by way of RNAcentral.
UAUCGAAUAGCUAAGUGGUUAAAGCAAAAGGUGAAUAGCCUUUCUACAUGGGUUCGAAUCCCAUUUCAUAA